CUUAAGAAUUACAGUAACACGGUUUUAAGAGCUUGGAGAAGAGAAAGAAACAAGUGUGUGUAUGAUUUUGAAGGAAGGUUAUUUGUAGGAUGUGCAAGUUGCAGUGAAGUUUCGGGAGACUAACAGGAAUGGAAUCCUAUUUGAAAUAUUCCACAUUGAAGGGUGGAUUUGUGGAACUCUGAAUGGGAAUCUAUUCCAUGUGACUACAGAGUUCAGACUUAAGAACAAUGGAAGAACAUUCUAGGAGACCAAAUCUGUGUAUAAGGAAUAUCAUUUUCACAAUUUUAGCUGUCCCUCCCACCAGAGGGCAGGCGACUGUGCUUUUGAUCUUUUUUAUUGCCAAUGCCUGGCAACAUGCCCGACUUGCAGUCGACUUCAGUGUUGGCUUACUAAUUCCAUUAAUAGGUGUUCAAAAACAGCAUGAAGAGCUAAAUGAUGAGAAAAUUUCCAACUUCGCCAAUGCCUACUCUUGUUCUCUUCUAGUCACAAGCUCAUCAUGAUGGCCCUCUGUGGAGCAGCUUGCUCCGGUGAGCGUGCAUUCAGCUAUCAAAUCCCAGGAGGCCCAUUAGACCUCAACCAAAUGACAGCCCGUAAAGUUCCUCGGAGUGAAGAAUUAGGUUGAGCUGUUAACCUUCCCCAUGCAAAGGACAACAAAGAAAUUCUAGUAAGAGCCAUUUUCCUUUGGCGCUUGGCAUAGGAGUUUACCUGCAGCAGCCUCUGCUUCUCUGCCAUUUAUUAUCCCAUUCCCGCGUGCUGCCUACUCCACUCAAGCACCUUCUAUAAAGUGAUACUGCCUAAGCUGAAGUGCUAAAAUCUGCCUGCCCUAAAUGGGAUAUGAAAAUGUGGGAAUAUUAGCCCUUAAACAGUAGGCUAGAAUUUCUUUCAUCCAUCUAUCCCUAAGGCAAACUGGGUUUUAAAGCCAAAAUCACAGGUUGCCUUUUGCUUUGUAAAUCAGCAGUUGGAUGUGUAAUUGGGGUUUUUUUUUUUAAAUGUCAAAAUGACUCUUGGGUGUUGAUUUGGCAAGUGGAAAUAACAUAGAAAGGCUGUAUAAGUAGUUUUAGAAUGGCAGUUAAAAUCUCAUAAUCUGACUUUAACAAUUGAUUUUGCUCCAAAUUUCCAUAUUGGUAUUAUUCAGCUUUUGGCUGAGGAUCUGGAAAUGGAACUUUUCCCAGUGAAACUUGGACUAAACCUAAUAUUGAACUUAUCGUGUUCAUAGUUUGGGUAGGUAAAUUUUAUACAUCUAAUUUGCAGACCAGCUUAUAGAAACAGGAGAUGAAAAGCCCAUUUCAUUUAUUCCCCUGGUGGGGUGGAACAUUUUCUUCCAAUAUGUUUUCCAAUUUACUUUUGAAAUUUAUGGAGCUUAAGAAAAGUACCAUUCCAUUAUCUAAUAGUUCUUGCUAAUAGGCAGUUUCCUUAAAUACCCAGCCUAAAUUUUCCAUUGCUCAUCUGACUUCAAAUCUUCACCAUUUUCCAAUCUUAUGGAUUUUAUAAUUUGAUGUUUGCUAAAUCCUUAGUUAAUAGCCAUUCUCAAGAUUGUGAUUUAAAAAAUGUAUAUUAAGUGAUUUUGCUCCCUUAAAAAUUCUAUAAACUACUGAUUGAAUGUGCAAAACAUUUAUGCCCUAUUUCUAAAAGAGUAAAACGAUUCACAAACUACUACUCUGGAUAGUGAGAGAUGAACCUAUUUCUUCUGCCUUGCUAAGAGAAUUGUUUUGCUUGGUUUGAUGCUACCAAAGUAUAUUUAAGAACGAAUAAAACGUGAAUUGAUCGUGUUUGUGGUUAUUUUCUGAGG
Molecule: long non-coding RNA, 1789 nt
Organism: Leopardus geoffroyi (Geoffroy's cat)
Lineage: Eukaryota; Metazoa; Chordata; Mammalia; Carnivora; Felidae
Exons: 4
Source: RefSeq, a predicted model, not a curated record